AACGAACGCUGGCGGCGUGCCUAACACAUGCAAGUCGUGCGAGAAAGUUCCUUCGGGAGCGAGUAAAGCGGCGCACGGGUGAGUAACACGUAGGUAACCUGCCCCCCAGUCUGGAACAACUAGAGGAAACUACUAGCUAAUGCCGGAUGAGACCACGAUCCCUUCGGGGUUGGCGGCCAAAGAUGGCCUCUACUUGUAAGCUAUCGCUGAGGGAUGGGCCUGCGGGCCAUUAGCUUGUUGGUGAGGUAACGGCUCACCAAGGCUGUGAUGGCUAGCUGGUCUGAGAGGAUGACCAGCCACACUGGGACUGAGACACGGCCCAGACUCCUACGGGAGGCAGCAGUGGGAAUAUUGCGCAAUGGGCGAAAG
This 369-nucleotide ribosomal RNA is filed under the name uncultured bacterium. Its description in RNAcentral is "bacterial SSU rRNA". It matches the Rfam family "Bacterial small subunit ribosomal RNA", at positions 29 to 381 of the family's 1533-position model. The record is from RNAcentral.